CGUACACUCCUACGGGAGGCAGCAGUGGGGAAUAUUGGACAAUGGGCGCAAGCCUGAUCCAGCCAUGCCGCGUGAGUGAUGAAGGCCCUAGGGUUGUAAAGCUCUUUCACCGGUGAAGAUAAUGACGGUAACCGGAGAAGAAGCCCCGGCUAACUUCGUGCCAGCAGCCGCGGUAAUACGAAGGGGGCUAGCGUUGUUCGGAUUUACUGGGCAUAAAGCGCACGUAGGCGGACUAUUAAGUCAGGGGUGAAAUCCCGGGGCUCAACCCCGGAACUGCCUUUGAUACUGGUAGUCUUGAGUUCGAGAGAGGUGAGUGGAAUUCCGAGUGUAGAGGUGAAAUUCGUAGAUAUUCGGAGGAACACCAGUGGCGAAGGCGGCUCACUGGCUCGAUACUGACGCUGAGGUGCGAAAGCGUGGGGAGCAAACAGGAUUAGAUACCCGUGUAGUCCC
This 450-nucleotide ribosomal RNA is filed under the name uncultured organism. RNAcentral describes it as "partial 16S ribosomal RNA". It matches the Rfam family "Bacterial small subunit ribosomal RNA", at positions 330 to 797 of the family's 1533-position model. The record is from RNAcentral.